UCUCCGUCUUAUGCCCAUCAGAUUCAUGUGCAUUCCAUGUAUGUGCCAAUCAACAAACUGAAGAGAACAGCUGUUGGAGAAAAAUGAUAGUGUGCAAGGCUGUGAAAGUAUGGGUGCCCCCCCCAACAGAUUCCUUAAGGACCUACUCCACGAUCUUUCCAGGCCCUUCUUCUGUCUCCCUCCUUGACAGAGACAUAGACCUAUUCCUGACAUUCUGGAGGGAGACUGUCCUGUUGCUAUUUCCUGUUAACUGCUCUUAGGUUUUGAAGUAUGGAUGCUCUUCUUAUCGCAAAGAAAAUUCUUUUCCUUAUCUUCGUGGAGCUGAAUGAGGGAAGACUUCUUCGUUUCCUGUUUCAACUCUUUAUCUCAACAUUUAAUUCAUGGAUCCUGUACCAGCUGGCUUCCCCACUGAUGGCACCCAGCCAGCAUCUUGCUGCACCUCAAACGCAGGGCAAUUGAAAUUAGCAUUUGUUUCCAUGAGAGUUGUCUUCUGUGCCAGCUUUUCACUUUGUUUUGCAUUAUGUUUCACAGCUGAGAAAUGAUUUUCGUAAGUAAAUGCACACGGAAGCCAGUCUUCUUGACUGGUAUCUCUUUUUGUCUUAGGAAGGUAACUUUUCCCACUGUGCCCUACUGGGGAUCCUAAAAAUGGAUAAAGUGUCUGCACAUGUUGCUUUGCCAGCCUGUUUCAACAUGUAUGAAAAGUUGCAGCAGGAAAACCAGGAUACACUUUCCAUCCUGAAGCAUGGGGAAAAAAAAAUCCUGGAAAUUCCAUAAUGGGAAUUUUUUAACCGAGAACAAAGGCCUGACUUUGUAGAUAGGCAUCUUGAUGUAACCUCAUGUAAAGCAGCUAAUGCACAGGAACAAAUACAAA
Molecule: long non-coding RNA, 871 nt
Organism: Alligator sinensis (Chinese alligator)
Lineage: Eukaryota; Metazoa; Chordata; Crocodylia; Alligatoridae
Exons: 4
Source: RefSeq, a predicted model, not a curated record